RNAcentral lists this ribosomal RNA (440 nucleotides) under uncultured bacterium. Its description in RNAcentral is "partial 16S ribosomal RNA". It matches the Rfam family "Bacterial small subunit ribosomal RNA", at positions 338 to 795 of the family's 1533-position model. The record is from RNAcentral.
CCUACGGGUGGCAGCAGUAGGGAAUAUUGGUCAAUGGGGGAAAGCCUGAAGCAGCAAAGCCGCGUGGAGGAUGAAGGUUCUCGGAGUGGAAAAUCUCUUUGUUAGAGAAGAAAAUGACGGUACCUAACGAAUAAGCACCGGCUAACGCCGUGACAGCAGCCGCGGUAACAGGGGGGGUGCAAGCGUUACUCGGAAUCACUGGGCGUAAUGGGCGCGUAGGGGGGAUAGCAAAUCAGAUGUGAAAUCCUAUGGCUUAACCAUAGAACUGCCUUUGAAACUGGUAUUCUAGAGUGUGGGAGAGGUAGGCGGAAUUCUUGGUGUAGCGGUAAAAUCCAUAGAGAUCGAGAAGAAUACUCAUUGCGAAGGCGGCCUGCUGGAACGUAACUGACGCUGAUGCACGAAAGCGUGGGGAGCGAACAGGAUUAGAUACCCCGGUAGUC